Molecule: ribosomal RNA, 433 nt
Filed under: uncultured bacterium
Lineage: Bacteria
Description: partial 16S ribosomal RNA
Rfam family: Bacterial small subunit ribosomal RNA
Source: RNAcentral
AACGAACGCUGGCGGCAUGCCUAACACAUGCAAGUCGAACGAGACCUUCGGGUCUAGUGGCGCACGGGUGCGUAACGCGUGGGAACCUGCCCUUAGGUUCGGAAUAACUCCCCGAAAGGGGUGCUAAUACCGGAUAAUGUCUUCGGACCAAAGAUUUAUCGCCUUUGGAUGGGCCCGCGUUGGAUUCGCUAGUUGGUAGGGUAAAAGCCUACCAAGGCGACGAUCCAUAGCUGGUCUGAGAGGAGGAUCAGCCACACUGGGACUGAGACACGGCCCAGACUCCUACGGGAGGCAGCAGUGGGGAAUAUUGGACAAUGGGCGAAAGCCUGAUCCAGCAAUGCCGCGUGAGUGAUGAAGGCCUUAGGGUUGUAAAGCUCUUUUACCCGGGAUGAUAAUGACAGUACCGGGAGAAUAAGCUCCGGCUAACUCCGUG